This 292-nucleotide ribosomal RNA is filed under the name uncultured bacterium. Its description in RNAcentral is "partial 16S ribosomal RNA". It matches the Rfam family "Bacterial small subunit ribosomal RNA", at positions 505 to 796 of the family's 1533-position model. The record is from RNAcentral.
GUGUCAGCCGCCGCGGUAAUACGUAGGUGGCAAGCGUUGUCCGGAUUUACUGGGCGUAAAGGGAGCGUAGGCGGACUUUUAAGUGGGAUGUGAAAUACCCGGGCUUAACCUGGGUGCUGCAUUCCAAACUGGGAGUCUAGAGUGCAGGAGGGGAAAGUGGAAUUCCUAGUGUAGCGGUGAAAUGCGUAGAGAUUAGGAAGAACACCAGUGGCGAAGGCGACUUUCUGGACUGUAACUGACGCUGAGGCUCGAAAGCGUGGGGAGCGAACAGGAUUAGAAACCCCGGUAGUCC